GCAAGUCGAGCGAAGCACUUGCCAUUGACUCUUCGGAAGAUUUGGUAUUUGACUGAGCGGCGGACGGGUGAGUAACGCGUGGGUAACCUGCCUCAUACAGGGGAAUAACAGUUAGAAAUGGCUGCUAAUGCCGCAUAAGCGCACAGGGCCGCAUGGUCCGGUGUGAAAAACUCCGGUGGUAUGAGAUGGACCCGCGUCUGAUUAGGUAGUUGGCGGGGUAAUGGCCCACCAAGCCGACGAUCAGUAGCCGACCUGAGAGGGUGACCGGCCACAUUGGGACUGAGACACGGCCCAGACUCCUACGGGAGGCAGCAGUGGGGAAUAUUGCACAAUGGAGGAAACUCUGAUGCAGCGACGCCGCGUGAAGGAAGAAGUAUCUCGGUAUGUAAACUUCUAUCAGCAGGGAAGAAAAUGACGGUACCUGACUAAGAAGCCCCGGCUAACUACGUGCCAGCAGCCGCGGUAAUACGUAGGGGGCAAGCGUUAUCCGGAUUUACUGGGUGUAAAGGGAGCGUAGACGGACGGGCAAGUCUGAUGUGAAAGCCCGGGGCUUAACCCCGGGACUGCAUUGGAAACUGUCCAUCUUGAGUGCCGGAGAGGUAAGCGGAAUUCCUAGUGUAGCGGUGAAAUGCGUAGAUAUUAGGAGGAACACCAGUGGCGAAGGCGGCUUACUGGAC
Molecule: ribosomal RNA, 677 nt
Filed under: uncultured Lachnospiraceae bacterium
Lineage: Bacteria; Bacillati; Bacillota; Clostridia; Lachnospirales; Lachnospiraceae
Description: bacterial SSU rRNA
Rfam family: Bacterial small subunit ribosomal RNA
Source: RNAcentral